Non-coding RNA from Marasmius sp. AFHP31, 100 nucleotides. The record is from the annotation of a GenBank genome assembly. NCBI's taxonomy places the organism in Eukaryota, Fungi, Basidiomycota, Agaricomycetes, Agaricales, Marasmiaceae.
UCCCUGGUAGUAUAUCGGUUAGUACACGCGCCUGUCAUGGUCGCAUGAGCUCGACGUUCAAUGCACGCGCGAAAGCUGGGUUCGACUCCCAGCCAGGGAG